RNAcentral lists this unclassified non-coding RNA (507 nucleotides) under uncultured Glomus. RNAcentral describes it as "SSU rRNA". It matches the Rfam family "Eukaryotic small subunit ribosomal RNA", at positions 569 to 1079 of the family's 1831-position model. Lineage: Eukaryota; Fungi; Glomeromycota; Glomeromycetes; Glomerales; Glomeraceae. The record is from RNAcentral.
AGCAGCCGCGGUAAUUCCAGCUCCAAUAGCGUAUAUUAAAGUUGUUGCAGUUAAAAAGCUCGUAGUUGAAUUUCGGGGUUAGCAGGUCGGUCGUGCCAUCGGUAUGAACUGGUCUCGCUGAUCCCUCCCUCUUGACGAACUGUGAUGCCAUUAAUUUGGUGUCGCAGGGAAUCAGGACUGUUACUUUGAAAAAUUAGAGUGUUUAAAGCAGGCUCACGCUUGAAUACAUUAGCAUGGAAUAAUGAAAUAGGACGUUUGAUCCUAUUUUGUUGGUUUCUAGGAUUGACGUAAUGAUUAAUAGGGAUAGUUGGGGGCAUUAGUAUUCAAUUGUCAGAGGUGAAAUUCUUGGAUUUAUUGAAGACUAACUACUGCGAAAGCAUUUGCCAAGGAUGUUUUCAUUAAUCAAGAACGAAAGUUAGGGGAUCGAAGACGAUCAGAUACCGUCGUAGUCUUAACCAUAAACUAUGCCGACUAGGGAUCGGAUGAUGUUAAUUUUUAAUGACUCUA